GUGUUGUAUGAAAGGAGAGAAGGUUAGCACUCCCCUUGAUAAGGAUGGAAGAGGCCCUCGUGGCCUAUAAAACAUGCAUACGGUUAAGGCACUGCCACCUACUUUGUGGCAUCUAACCAUGUUAC
Small nuclear RNA from Melopsittacus undulatus (budgerigar), 125 nucleotides. The record is from Ensembl. Lineage: Eukaryota; Metazoa; Chordata; Aves; Psittaciformes; Psittaculidae.